GAUCCUGGCUCAGGACGAACGCUGGCGGCGUGCCUAAUACAUGCAAGUCGAACGAACCGCGACUAGGUGCUUGCACUUGGUCAAGGUGAGUGGCGAACGGGUGAGUAACACGUGGGUAACCUACCUCAUAGUGGGGGAUAACAGUCGGAAACGACUGCUAAUACCGCAUAGGACAUGGGAUCACAUGAUUCUGUGGGGAAAGGUGGCGCAAGCUAUCGCUAAGAGAUGGACCCGCGGUG
Molecule: ribosomal RNA, 239 nt
Filed under: uncultured bacterium
Lineage: Bacteria
Description: partial 16S ribosomal RNA
Rfam family: Bacterial small subunit ribosomal RNA
Source: RNAcentral